CGGAAGACCAAGGGUUCCUGUCCAACGUUAAUCGGGGCAGGGUGAGUCGACCCCUAAGGCGAGGCCGAAAGGCGUAGUCGAUGGGAAACAGGUUAAUAUUCCUGUACUUGGUGUUACUGCGAAGGGGGGACGGAGAAGGCUAUGUUGGCCGGGCGACGGUUGUCCCGGUUUAAGCGUGUAGGCUGGUUUUCCAGGCAAAUCCGGAAAAUCAAGGCUGAGGCGUGAUGACGAGGCACUACGGUGCUGAAGCAACAAAUGCCCUGCUUCCAGGAAAAGCCUCUAAGCAUCAGGUAACAUCAAAUCGUACCCCAAACCGACACAGGUGGUCAGGUAGAGAAUACCAAGGCGCUUGAGAGAACUCGGGUGAAGGAACUAGGCAAAAUGGUGCCGUAACU
Molecule: ribosomal RNA, 395 nt
Filed under: Escherichia coli
Lineage: Bacteria; Pseudomonadati; Pseudomonadota; Gammaproteobacteria; Enterobacterales; Enterobacteriaceae
Description: partial 23S ribosomal RNA
Rfam family: Bacterial large subunit ribosomal RNA
Source: RNAcentral